GGCAUCAGAGCUUCUAACUCUGUUGGAUCAUGCAGUUCAAAGUUUGAUAGCAGUGACAGGAGUUAUGUUGGACACUUGCAUUGUGUGAUUGAUUUUGCUGUCUUUCACUGGUUUAUACAGAAUUUGGUAUAAAAUUUAUAGGGAUUUUGGUCAAGCAACAAAGCAUGAUUCUAACACAUUAUGGUUAGGGCUAAAAAAAGGAUGGCUUUAUUUCAAAUGAAAGGCUAAAUGACAAUCCAUUCUAUAAAAGUGUUGGAGAUGGGAAAAUAAAACAUGUGUUCUUAGUCUUUAUUGAUGAUGGCCUUGGAAAAGGCUCAUAUGUAGAUAUAGCAUGAUACAUUCAAUGACAGGGGGACCAGGAAGAAGAGCUAACUAGCAGGAUAGUAACGACCAACAAUUUAAAGUUUCUGGUUUAUUUUUGAAACUAACAGAAUUUUUAUGGUUCCUUGUAUUUCACGAAAGGUGUGCAGGGACAGAAAUUGUGAUUCCAAACAAACAAGAAGAUGCUGAAGCCAAACUAUCUCAGCUGUUUUUUGUGGACAUAAUAAUUUGCCCUCUAUCCUGAUUGUGUUUUCAUACAUUAUGCUGUUAUAUCAUGAGAUGUGUGGAAUGAGAUGUGUCUUAAUAUAGUGUUAUAAGAAUGAAAGCACCUUGUAUCACAAAUGGAACAAUCACAUUAAAUUCUUUAAUGUUCACUAUCAGAAAAAAAAAAUUACCUGCAGCACAAAAGGUAUGUAGGCACGGAACAAUUGCUGCAGAUGAGUUUGGUUGUUGUUGUGACAUGGUUUAAAUAGGAGCAGGCUUACUCAUAAUCAUGUUUCAGCUUUGGAUAUUUAAAGAUCCAGGGUGGUCUAUUUUGUGAUUCUUUUAUGGAUCACUUCCAGGUUCCUGGAUAUGAAAAUGGGAACUUCGUGGGUCCUACCAUCUUGUCUGAUGUCAUAGUCAACAUGGAAUGUUACAAGGUAGUUUAUGACCUGUGUGUAUAAAUGAACUUGUAUGAUUUCUGUUAAGGCAUAAACUUCAUGAUUUCUGUGUGUAGAUGUCUGCAGAUAGUGUGUGUAGGAGGAACACAAUAGAAUAGGCAAAUUUUGCUGGAUUAUUUAUUUAUUUAUUGGACUACAGCAAAUCACACUCUUUGUUUAUAUAGUUUCCUCUUUCAGAUCACAUGCUCGCACUUCUUUUUCUGCGUGAUUUCUGCCAGUGCUGUGUCGCUCUCUUCCGUCUCUUUGUUGGGUGGGGAGAUGGGUUGGCUUCAAUGGUAUAUGUAUAAAAUAUAUGAAAUGCAAACUUGAUCACAUUUGGUGGUCUGGAUGAUUCUUUGUUUGUAGUGGGAUUAUUGCUAUCAAGGUUUUGUUGGUAGGAAGAGGACAAGGAGAGGUACCAUAAAGGAAUAAAACAUUUCUGUGCAUUUUGGAUUUAUAGAGAUU
Molecule: unclassified non-coding RNA, 1427 nt
Filed under: Hevea brasiliensis (rubber tree)
Lineage: Eukaryota; Viridiplantae; Streptophyta; Magnoliopsida; Malpighiales; Euphorbiaceae
Source: RNAcentral